This 1747-nucleotide long non-coding RNA is filed under the name Homo sapiens (human). RNAcentral's name for it is "HSALNT0372538". Lineage: Eukaryota; Metazoa; Chordata; Mammalia; Primates; Hominidae. The record is from RNAcentral.
GAGUGAUGUUUCUGGGACUAAUGUCAGCAUAUGUCAGCGUGGAGCAUCCAUUUACCAUCUUGUUCAGCAUCAGCAGCUACAGCAGAACCUACUUAGGCCUUAUCUAAUCAUUGUGGAGGAGCCCGGUGGUCUUCACAAGCCAGACUGAAGCACGAUGAUCUGUGUUAAACUUUGUACUCCUGGGAUAAAUUCCUCUUGGUGAUGGUUUGAGCAUGUGAUGGCUGAGUGGACUCUCAUAGGCUGGAGCUGGAGAGAAGCCCAGAGACAGAAAGCAAGAGAUAUGCAGUGCAGCUGGGGAGGUCUUGCCUUGCUACAUUUGCAUGAAGCUAUUGGCUAUAGCAAUGGCUGAAGAGAAAGCUGAGCUGAGAGGACAUAAAAUGAAGCAAGGAUGGAGAAGAGAUGGAACAAUCUUAUAUAAAUUGGCCAAAGAAGUCAUUAGACCACCUGCUCUGUGCUGCAUGCCUACCAUCAGCUCCAAUGCUCACUGCCAUUAGAGAAAAUGGACCAGAAAAGCAGUCAUGGCACCUUCAUUCAUGUCUUAAGAAAGCUUUAGGAGAGUGGUUUGAAAACUAGGCUUCUGUGAAGCACCUUUGGGUGCUGCUGAAUUGGAAGGGGGAGGAAGAAGUGGGCUGAUAGCAGAAAAGGGCCAAUGGGUGGAGUCUCAGUCCUCUGACCCACUUCAACCAGAAAAAUCUGCUUUCAUUCAUUUUGCAUAUUGAGCGUCAUUGUGAUAAUUUGGGGCUGAAAUAAAUUUGGAAGCCACAAGAGCGCAUUAAGGAAUUUCACUGGGAGAAUUGGUGAGGUCCCAAACCUGGGAUGAGUUGCCCAUCUCCCCUCUGGUUAUUAAGCUAGGCUGAUAUACAAUGUACCCGGGAAGGAAGUCACAAAUAUCAGCUUGUAUUCAAGAAAGCAUUUUGACUCAUUGUGCUCCCUCUCUAAUCCCAUUUAAUCUCAGCCUGCUUUCACUGAGUCUCUUUCUCUUGAUUCAUUCAUUCGCUAAUAUAGCAAAUAUUUCAUGAACAUAUAUGAUUUGUCAACAUUGUGCUAGACCCCUGAGAUAUGACUGAGAUAUAGUUCUUUCAUUCAAGGAACCCAAGUCUAAUGGCAAAUGAGGACAGAAAAACGAAUUAACAGACAAUUACCAUACAAUGUUAAGCAAAGAAUAAACAGUCUUGUGAGAACAUGGAGAAAAGCCUUUGAAUCUAACCCAUGUGUAAUCUAACCCAUGUGAUUAAGGGAUGGGGUCUCAGAGGAAGUGCACCAUGACAUGAAUCCUGGAGAAUGUGCUGGAGUUAGUGAAGUUCUAAACUCUUGUCUGUAACAACAUUCCCACAUUUGAAUCUUGGCUUUCUUUUUUGAAAUCUGGGUAAACUUGAUUUUCUGGGACCCAUAUGAUAUUAUUCUAGAACAUAAGAUGUCACCUUGGUCAAAUCAUUCUACUUAGAGCCAUCAGCUUCCCCAUCCAUCCUGCAUGUGGGAGUAAGGAUAAGGCUGGGAAAAAUAAACAGUGUUAUCUUGGAAUGAUCAUAGAGUGGAGUAAAUAAAACCCAUUCAGCAAACACAUUCUGGGCACCUACAAUGUUCCAAGCACAGUGGCCAGUGCUGAAUAUAGAAAUGAAAUAUCAAUUCCAUGUCCUCAAAUCAUCUACAAUCUAACUGUACAUAAGGCGAGUGGGACCAAAGCCUUAAUCAUUGCUAACUCUUCUCAACAGUACUGUUGAGUGAGUUUCACCAUGGCACUCACGAG